GAUGAACGCUGGCGGCGUGCCUAAUACAUGCAAGUCGAGCGAACAGACGAGGAGCUUGCUCCUCUGACGUUAGCGGCGGACGGGUGAGUAACACGUGGAUAACCUACCUAUAAGACUGGGAUAACUUCGGGAAACCGGAGCUAAUACCGGAUAACAUGUUGAACCGCAUGGUUCAACAGUGAAAGACGGUCUUGCUGUCACUUAUAGAUGGAUCCGCGCCGCAUUAGCUAGUUGGUAAGGUAACGGCUUACCAAGGCAACGAUGCGUAGCCGACCUGAGAGGGUGAUCGGCCACACUGGAACUGAGACACGGUCCAGACUCCUACGGGAGGCAGCAGUAGGGAAUCUUCCGCAAUGGGCGAAAGCCUGACGGAGCAACGCCGCGUGAGUGAAGAAGGUCCUCGGAUCGUAAAACUCUGUUAUUAGGGAAGAACAAAUGUGUAAGUAACUAUGCACGUCCUGACGGUACCUAAUCAGAAAGCCACGGCUAACUACGUG
RNAcentral lists this ribosomal RNA (497 nucleotides) under uncultured bacterium. RNAcentral describes it as "partial 16S ribosomal RNA". It matches the Rfam family "Bacterial small subunit ribosomal RNA", at positions 28 to 507 of the family's 1533-position model. The record is from RNAcentral.